RNAcentral lists this transfer RNA (66 nucleotides) under Enterococcus villorum. It matches the Rfam family "tRNA", at positions 5 to 66 of the family's 71-position model. Rfam says of the family: Transfer RNA (tRNA) molecules are approximately 80 nucleotides in length. Lineage: Bacteria; Bacillati; Bacillota; Bacilli; Lactobacillales; Enterococcaceae. The record is from RNAcentral.
GCUUAGCUCAGUUGGUAGAGCAACGCACUCGUAACGCGUAGGCCACAGGUUCGAUCCCUGCAGCUG